RNAcentral lists this ribosomal RNA (497 nucleotides) under uncultured bacterium. RNAcentral describes it as "partial 16S ribosomal RNA". It matches the Rfam family "Bacterial small subunit ribosomal RNA", at positions 28 to 507 of the family's 1533-position model. The record is from RNAcentral.
GAUGAACGCUGGCGGCGUGCCUAAUACAUGCAAGUCGAGCGAACGGACGAGAAGCUUGCUUCUCUGAUGUUAGCGGCGGACGGGUGAGUAACACGUGGAUAACCUACCUAUAAGACUGGGAUAACUUCGGGAAACCGUAGCUAAUACCGGAUAAUAUUUUGAACCGCAUGGUUCAAAAGUGAAAGACGGUCUUGCUGUCACUUAUAGAUGGAUCCGCGCUGCAUUAGCUAGUUGGUAAGGUAACGGCUUACCAAGGCAACGAUGCAUAGCCGACCUGAGAGGGUGAUCGACCACACUGGAACUGAGACACGGUCCAGACUCCUACGGGAGGCAGCAGUAGGGAAGCUUCCGCAAUGGGCGAAAGCCUGACGGAGCAACGCCGCGUGAGUGAUGAAGGUCUUCGGAUCGUAAAACUCUGUUAUUAGGGAAGAACAUAUGUGUAAGUAACUGUGCACAUCUUGACGGUACCUAAUCAGAAAGCCACGGCUAACUACGUG